Ananas comosus (pineapple) is the source of this 835-nucleotide long non-coding RNA. RefSeq lists it as uncharacterized. The transcript is spliced from 2 exons. Lineage: Eukaryota; Viridiplantae; Streptophyta; Magnoliopsida; Poales; Bromeliaceae. The record is from RefSeq and is a predicted model, not a curated record.
UCGUUGGCGCGAAAUAGACGCAAAACGGACUCAGCGGAGACGCGAGAGCAAGUGUUAGCAUUGGAAUCUGCGAAUUGCAGAUUUUCUGCUUGUUGUACCGGUAUGACAUCAGGGUUGUACCGGUACACUUUCUGUAUCGGUACAGCAUCAGAGGUGUACUAGUACACUUCGCUUGAUUGGCGAACAGCUGCUCUCGGGUUGCCUUUUGUACCGGUACAGGUGCACGUGUACCGGUACACGGGGGUAGGUGAGGGACAGAAAUGACUUUUUAUGCGUCGUACGUAUUACCCACUCUUCCCCUUACUACAUAGCUUCGUAGAGAGAAGCUAAGGGGAGUUUUUUGGCUGGUUUCUUCUCCUCUUUCUCUCUAGACUUGAUCCGAGCAUGCGGAGGAGCUCAUGUGGAUUUGUUUCGUCGCCGACGUCGCGCCGCAGAGCUGUUUGAGCACACGAGCGUUGUGGUGGCUGCAUGGGGAGGCCGAGCGAGCAUGUGAUUUCGCCGUUUCGACGUCGCGCCGGUGUUGGUUUAGCUAUCGAGAGCUUGCUGUUCCGGCUGCUGCUUCUUCGGAGACUGACCGCGGCAAGGGCGUUGCUAGUUAGAGCUUUUCCUAGUUACUGCUGUUCGUGAGGUUACCAGCUGCAGGUAGUGCUAGUUUUUGGAGUUUCUUAUACAUACUGGUUGUAUCUCGCUAGGCGAACUUUUGUGUACCUGAACGUAUGUAUGUAUAUGGAACUUGUUCCUGUUUUUACCAGUUUUAUUCGAAUAGCUCUAUACUACUGUUUGUAGUAUUGUAUGUUUUACAAGUACAGCUAUCGCUUCGUAUAUAGGAAAAAAA